RNAcentral lists this long non-coding RNA (941 nucleotides) under Ananas comosus (pineapple). RNAcentral describes it as "long non-coding RNA (ACOM_LNC009434)". Lineage: Eukaryota; Viridiplantae; Streptophyta; Magnoliopsida; Poales; Bromeliaceae. The record is from RNAcentral.
GAAAAAGUGCCAACAAAUCUCACAUGAUCUCGACCAUUGGAUAUAUUGAUGAGGAAAUGAUCGGUUUAUGUCGAUCGUUCGAUUGAAGAUUUUAAGGGUUUGGAUUAAAAAUGAUGUGUGGUGUCUUUUUGCUAAGACUCGUAGUAGUUAGGGAAGAAUGGGGAGUUAUAGAAAGGGGGGAAGACGGAGGGACGCGAGGAGAAGAAGGGAAGAAGGGAAGACGGGAAGACACAUGAGUUAUAUAGAGAGAAAAAGAGAAUAUGGUGGCUGUGGAGAAGAAUGAGGAGUCAUAGAGAGGAGGAAGACGAAGUGACACGAAGAAUGAGAAGUUAUAGAGAGGAGGAAGACGAAGUGACACAGGGAGGGGAAGAGAAGACGGGGGACACUGGGGUUACAUAGAGAGAGAGGAUAAGCAAGCCAUCUAAAUGUGAAAAAAAAAACUCUCAAAGCAAGGAUGUUGCGCCACGUCAGCAAAAUUAUUGGGAAAUAAUAUAUGUUUAUAGAUUAUAGAUUAUAGAGAGGAGGAAGACGAAGUGACACAGAGAGGGGAAGAGAAGACGGGGGACACUGGGGUUACAUAGAGAGAGAGGAUAAGCAAGCCAUCUAAAUGUGAAAAAAAAACUCUCAAAGUAAGGAUGUUGCGCCACGUCAGCAAAAUUAUUGGGAAAUAAUAUAUGUUUAUAGAUUAUAGAUUAUAGAUAGAUAGAUAGAUAAUAAUAAUAAUAAUUUUUUCUUCCAUUGAUUUAAAUAAUUAAAUACAAAUUUAAAAAUUAAAGAAGAGUCCAUUUUUAAAAAAGCAAUGUAAAGGGAGUCUCAUACAUUUUUUUUAAAUUUUUAAUUCGUGAUCCAACAGAUUUUGAAAAUUCAUAUCCAAAAUCAAAUCCGAACAAAAGUUCAAAAUCUGAAUCUGGACCCAAAAAUCUAUAAAUUAUUUAUAAAUA